This 75-nucleotide transfer RNA is filed under the name Acidobacteriota bacterium. Its description in RNAcentral is "Acidobacteria bacterium tRNA-His". It matches the Rfam family "tRNA". From Rfam's summary of the family: Transfer RNA (tRNA) molecules are approximately 80 nucleotides in length. Their secondary structure includes four short double-helical elements and three loops (D, anti-codon, and T loops). The record is from RNAcentral. Lineage: Bacteria; Pseudomonadati; Acidobacteriota. RNAcentral also lists the same sequence under 1 other name.
UUGGCUAUAGCUCAAGCGGGCAGAGCGCUGCACUGUGAAUGCAGAGGUUGUCGGGUUCGAGUCCCACUAGCCGAC